Molecule: non-coding RNA, 27 nt
Filed under: Cricetulus griseus (Chinese hamster)
Lineage: Eukaryota; Metazoa; Chordata; Mammalia; Rodentia; Cricetidae
Source: RNAcentral
GCAGUGUGUCUGGGCUGUUGCAGGGUG